RNAcentral lists this transfer RNA (67 nucleotides) under Callista chinensis. RNAcentral's name for it is "tRNA-Ser". The record is from RNAcentral. Lineage: Eukaryota; Metazoa; Mollusca; Bivalvia; Venerida; Veneridae.
GAAGGGUGUAGGUCGUGAUGAGAUUUCUAAUCUUUUUUGCAGGCAGUUCGAUUCUGUUUACCCUUUU